CAUAGGUAGCAAACAGGAUUUGGUACCCUGGUAGUCUAUGCUAUAAACAAUGAAUAUUAAAUAUUAGAACUUUUUCUAAUAUACAAAGUUAACACGUUAAAUAUUUCGCCNGGGGAGUAAAACCGCANGGUUGAAACUCAAAGGAAUUGACGGGAGCUUAUACUUACNGUGGAGCAUGUGGUUUAAUCCGAUAGUCCGCGUGGAAUCUUACCAAUUUUUGACAAUUUAUAGUUUUUUCAUAUAAUACAGGUGUUGCAUGGCCGUCGUCAGCUUAUGUUUUGAAAUUUAUUAUAUAAGUACAACCCUUGUUUUAAUUUGCUAUAAUUUAAAAUUAUAAAUAAAAUGUUUAUAAAUUAAAUUANCACUAUUAAAAAAAAUANAUGAAUAAUUUAUUUUAAAGGAUGAAGAUAGGUCGUUAUGACCCUUAUAANUU
RNAcentral lists this ribosomal RNA (433 nucleotides) under Blastocystis sp. RNAcentral's name for it is "SSU rRNA". It matches the Rfam family "Bacterial small subunit ribosomal RNA", at positions 760 to 1210 of the family's 1533-position model. The record is from RNAcentral. Lineage: Eukaryota; Bigyra; Opalinata; Blastocystidae.